AUGCGCGCGCACCGCCCGCCGCCGCCGGCGCCCGCGCCCUCCCCGUCCCCGUACCAGUCGCCAAUGCCAUCCCCGACAGCGGCAUUUCAGGGUGGGCUCAUCAGCUCGCCGCCUUCUCCCUCCGCGGUCGCGUCACCGGGACCGGCACCCGUGCCUGCGCCAGCGCCGGAGCCUAAUGCGCUGCUCGCGUACGCGGGCGCGCGGCGAGGCGGGGGUGGCAUGAGCCCGCCGCUCAUCGCCAUGCUGGCGGUGGUGGGGGCGGCGCUGCUGGUGGUGCUGUACGCGCGGCUGGCCAGGCGCGUGGUCCGAGCCGUCCGGCGGCGGUGGCGCGGAUGGAGGAGGCGGCGGCGGCUGCUGAUGCUCCCGGUCGGCUCCCCGGCGCACGACUCCUUCGCGUCCUUCACCACCUACGACAACUUCUACCACACCUUCUCGCCGUACGGCCUGGACGACGCGGCCAUCAAGUCGCUGCCCUCGGCGCAGUUCCUCAAGGCGGAGGCCGCGCGCGCGAGCGCCGGAGCCCGCGACUGCGCCGUGUGCCUGCUGGAGUUCGCCGACGGCGACGAGCUCCGCGCGCUGCCGCUGUGCGCGCACGCCUUCCACGCCGACUGCAUCGACGUCUGGCUCCGCGCGCACGCCUCCUGCCCGCUCUGCCGCGCCGCCGUCGCGCUCCCGGCCCCCGUUUCCUCGCCGCUCCGCUCCGCCCGACGCGUUCGCCCCAGCCUCGACGAUCUCCUCUUCUUCCACCCCGUCCCGCCGCCUCCCCAGAACGACGCCGGCGCCCUGCCGGAGAUCACCCCGGCAAGCCCCGAUCAGCUCAACCCGAGGGACUUCCUCCUCAAGCGCUCCUACUCCUUCGGCUUCGAGCGGAACAUUGCCACGGAGGCCGCGUCCACAGCAUCCCCUUCCUGGCGCUACCGCUUGGGCGGCGGAGGCGGAGACGGCGCCAGCGGCCGCGGCCGAAGCUUCUGGAGCAAGCGCUGGCCAUCUCCAUUCGGUGGCGUGGGGGGCUCCGCGGCGGCCGCAGCCCGUGUCUUCUCGUUCCGCUCGGCCGCGGGCAAGUCCUCCCCCUUCGCCCGCCGCCGCACCGGCGCAGCCCCCGCAGGAGGCGGGUUCUUCAUGUCCCUGUCCUCCGAGCCCCCGUCCAUAGCCGCGGCGAGGCGGAGCAACCGCACGUCGAGCCGGCUCCGGUGCGGGGACCCCGAGGCGCUGCUCUCGCCGGACCGUCUCAGCCGCUGA
RNAcentral lists this ribosomal RNA (1239 nucleotides) under Triticum aestivum (bread wheat). RNAcentral's name for it is "partial small subunit ribosomal RNA". Lineage: Eukaryota; Viridiplantae; Streptophyta; Magnoliopsida; Poales; Poaceae. The record is from RNAcentral.